GGCUACACACGUGCUACAAUGGGUAGUACAGAGAGUCGCAAAGCCGUGAGGUGGAGCUAAUCUCAGAAAACUAUUCUUAGUUCGGAUUGUACUCUGCAACUCGAGUACAUGAAGUUGGAAUCGUUAGUAAUCGCGAAUCAGCAAUGUCGCGGUGAAUACGUUCUCGGGUCUUGUACACACCGCCCGUCACACCACGAGAGUUGGUUGCACCUGAAGUAGCAGGCCUAACCGUAAGGAGGGAUGCUCCGAGGGUGUGAUUAGCGAUUGGGGUGAAGUCGUAACAAGGUAUCCGUACGGGAACGU
RNAcentral lists this ribosomal RNA (303 nucleotides) under uncultured Fusobacterium sp. Its description in RNAcentral is "bacterial SSU rRNA". It matches the Rfam family "Bacterial small subunit ribosomal RNA", at positions 1212 to 1513 of the family's 1533-position model. The record is from RNAcentral. Lineage: Bacteria; Fusobacteriati; Fusobacteriota; Fusobacteriia; Fusobacteriales; Fusobacteriaceae.